AAUGGGCGCAAGCCUGAUGCAGCGACGGCCGCGUGAGGGAUGACGGCCUUCGGGUUGUAAACCUCUUUCAGUAGGGACGAAGCGAAAGUGACGGUACCUACAGAAGAAGGACCGGCCAACUACGUGCCAGCAGCCGCGGUAAUACGUAGGGUCCGAGCGUUGUCCGGAAUUACUGGGCGUAAAAAGCUCGUAGGUGGUUUGUCGCGUUGUUCGUGAAAACUCACAGCUUAACUGUGGGCGUGCGGGCGAUACGGGCAGACUAGAGUACUGCAGGGGAGACUGGAAUUCCUGGUGUAGCGGUGGAAUGCGCAGAUAUCAGGAGGAACACCGGUGGCGAAGGCGGGUCUCUGGGCAGUAACUGACGCUGAGGAGCGAAAGCGUGGGUAGCGAACAGGAUUAGAUACCCUGGUAGUCCACGCCGUAAACGGUGGGUACUAGGUGUGGGUUUCCUUCCUUGGGAUCCGUGCCGUAGC
This 473-nucleotide ribosomal RNA is filed under the name [Mycobacterium] chelonae subsp. chelonae. RNAcentral describes it as "bacterial SSU rRNA". It matches the Rfam family "Bacterial small subunit ribosomal RNA", at positions 370 to 852 of the family's 1533-position model. Lineage: Bacteria; Bacillati; Actinomycetota; Actinomycetes; Mycobacteriales; Mycobacteriaceae. The record is from RNAcentral.